GGUGAACGCUGGCGGCGUGCCUAAGACAUGCAAGUCGAGCGGGGCAGGUUUAUACCUGUUCAGCGGCGGACGGGUGAGUAACGCGUGGGUGACCUACCCGGAAGAGGCGGACAACCUGGGGAAACCCAGGCUAAUCCGCCAUGUGGUCCUGUCCUGUGGGGCAGGACUAAAGGGUGGAUAGCCCGCUUCCGGAUGGGCCCGCGUCCCAUCAGCUAGUUGGUGGGGUAAAGGCCCACCAAGGCGACGACGGGUAGCCGGUCUGAGAGGAUGGCCGGCCACAGGGCCACUGAGACACGGGCCCCACGCCUACGGGAGGCAGCAGUUAGGAAUCUGCCGAAAUGGACGGAAGUCUGACGGAGCGACGCCGCUUGGAGGAGGAAGCCCUUCGGGGUGUAAACUCCUGAACUGGGGACGAAAGCCCUGUGUAGGGGGAUGACGGUACCCAGGUAAUAGCGCCGGCCAACUCCGUG
Molecule: ribosomal RNA, 470 nt
Filed under: uncultured bacterium
Lineage: Bacteria
Description: partial 16S ribosomal RNA
Rfam family: Bacterial small subunit ribosomal RNA
Source: RNAcentral